GUCUAUUUGGGGAUAUAUAUAGUCUGGCCUGCUCACUGAUAAGUUUAUUUAAGAGCCGCGGUAUUUUGACCGUGCAAAGGUAGCAUAAUCAUUAGGGGCCUAAUUGGAAUCUGGUAUGAAGGGUUGGACAAAGAAGAAACUGUCUCUAAAUUAUAAGUUGAAAUUUACUUUUAAGUGAAAAGGCUUAAAUGCUUCAAAGGGACGAUAAGACCCUAUAAAGCUUUAUAAACUGUUUAAACUUAAUUAAUUUAAAAAUAAAGAUUAAAUUUAACUAGUUUAUUCUGUUGGGGUGAUAUGAGUAUAAGUUUUAUUAACUGCUUAAGAGAGAUACAAGUAUAAGUGAGUGAGAAAUAUAUGAUCCUUUUUAAAGAUUAAAAGACUAAGUUACUUUAGGGAUAACAGCGUUAUUUCUUUUGAGAGUUCAUAUCGAAAAAGAAGAUUGCGACCUCGAUGUUGAAUUAAAANANNNAUAUAAUGUAGCCGUUAUAAAAGAAGGUCUGUUCGACCUUUAAAUUUC
RNAcentral lists this ribosomal RNA (517 nucleotides) under Micropanope lobifrons. RNAcentral's name for it is "partial 16S ribosomal RNA". It matches the Rfam family "Bacterial large subunit ribosomal RNA", at positions 1829 to 2596 of the family's 2925-position model. The record is from RNAcentral. Lineage: Eukaryota; Metazoa; Arthropoda; Malacostraca; Decapoda; Xanthidae.